UUGUUGUUUUUUAUCUUUGUCCUCCCCUGUAUAUUUUCUUUUUCUUUUAUUUUAUUUUAUUUAUUUCGUUUCAUUUGUCACAGUGGGGGUGGUGGGAACACACAGACACACACACACAACAACGGUGUCGACUUCACAAUCCUACGACGGACCAAAACAAGUUCGAUUUGAUCGAGUUUAUGAAGAAAAUGUACUUCGGACGUGCAUAAGGAAGGAGAUGCACGUGACGUACCAACUUAGUCAGACUUCGAGGUGACAAACGUGAAGUUAAGGAAGGAAGGAAGGAAGGAAAGAGGAAAAAGAAAAGAAAAGGAAAAAAAAAGGACAGAAAGACAGAAGAUGCCGGUCGGUGGACGUGUUGCUGGCAAAGUUGGGAUUUAUAGUUCCCAUUACAAUGGUAAUGGUGUGGAUAUCAAGGCAUUAGGUAAAGGUUACAGUGGAAUUAACGAAGAGAUCAUAUGGAUCAGUAUCGGUAUGGGAAUAGCGAUAGCAGUAUUGAUAACGAUAGCACUUUGCUAUAUAGCACGUGAAAAGUGUCGUAAACGUCACGAAGGUUACUAUUCCUCCUGACAUACGUUACCCCCGCCCGCUUGGGCGAAUUGUUCAACCUUCACACCAACAACCCCUAGGGUUUACUUUAGCCCCACAAUCUCAAAGGACAAGCCACGAGCUUAUUACAUCACCGUCUAAGUGGAAUGUCACAUCGAUCGAUGAUCCUUUCGAACAAGAUAGAAGAUAAAUCCGAAUUUUACGUUUCUCAAGUAAGACAAAAUUGUACGACGUAUACCAUUGGCUGCUGCAGCUGCUGUUGGGUGGUAGUGUUACCCACAAGUUUCUAAAACGUAGUAACAAUCGUUUCGAUUGAACUUACUUUUAUUUUUAGAAAAAUAUAAACGAGUUUUCUUUAUUUUCUUCUUUUUUUUUUCUUUCUUUCUUUUCCUCCCCAUCGUAAUAGGCACAAAACCCACUUUUCAACCACCCAUCCUCGUAUUUUAAGGACACGAUCGUUUUAAUCUAAAUUUAAACUAUGUUUAUAAUAAAAAAAAAAAUAAUAAAAAAAUAAAAAAUAAUACGCACGCGAAGAAUAAAAAGAAAUAAAAAGUAUGACGAUUAAAUCGUCAUAGAAAAAUUCUUCCAAACGAUUAUCCACGUACCUUCCGAUAAGAAAAAAAAAAAACAGAAAAAAAGAAAAGAUAUUUAAUGAAAGUCUUUGAUCAAAGUGUUCUCAAUGUAGAAAAAUCAUAAAUUUAAAAAAAUAAAAAACAAGAACGAAGAAAAUGAAAAUAAAAAAUAUACAGAUACAUAAACA
Molecule: unclassified non-coding RNA, 1309 nt
Filed under: Polistes fuscatus (common paper wasp)
Lineage: Eukaryota; Metazoa; Arthropoda; Insecta; Hymenoptera; Vespidae
Description: uncharacterized LOC122525613, transcript variant X4
Source: RNAcentral